Molecule: ribosomal RNA, 440 nt
Filed under: uncultured bacterium
Lineage: Bacteria
Description: partial 16S ribosomal RNA
Rfam family: Bacterial small subunit ribosomal RNA
Source: RNAcentral
CCUACGGGGGGCAGCAGUGGGGAAUAUUGCACAAUGGGGGAAACCCUGAUGCAGCGACGCCGCGUGAGUGAAGAAGUAUUUCGGUACGUAAAGCUCUAUCAGCAGGGAAGAAAAUGACGGUACCUGACUAAGAAGCCCCGGCUAACUACGUGCCAGCAGCCGCGGUAAUACGUAGGGGGCAAGCGUUAUCCGGAUUUACUGGGUGUAAAGGGAGUGUAGACGGCAGGGCAAGUCUGGAGUGAAAUCCCAUGGCUUAACCAUGGAACUGCUUUGGAAACUGUGCAGCUAGAGUGCAGGAGAGGUAAGCGGAAUUCGUGGUGUAGCGGUGAAAUGCGUAGAUAUUAGGAGGAACACCAGUGGCGAAGGCGGCUUACUGGACUGUAACUGACGUUGAGGCUCGAAAGCGUGGGGAGCAAACAGGAUUAGAUACCCCUGUAGUC